CCUACGGGAGGCAGCAGUGGGGAAUAUUGCACAAUGGGCGAAAGCCUGAUGCAGCGACGCCGCGUGAGGGAUGACGGCCUUCGGGUUGUAAACCUCUUUCAGCAGGGAAGAAGCGAAAGUGACGGUACCUGCAGAAGAAGCGCCGGCUAACUACGUGCCAGCAGCCGCGGUAAUACGUAGGGCGCGAGCGUUGUCCGGAAUUAUUGGGCGUAAAGAGCUCGUAGGCGGCUUGUCACGUCGGUUGUGAAAGCCCGGGGCUUAACCCCGGGUCUGCAGUCGAUACGGGCAGGCUAGAGUGUGGUAGGGGAGAUCGGAAUUCCUGGUGUAGCGGUGAAAUGCGCAGAUAUCAGGAGGAACACCGGUGGCGAAGGCGGAUCUCUGGGCCAUUACUGACGCUGAGGAGCGAAAGCGUGGGGAGCGAACAGGAUUAGAUACCCUGGUAGUCCACGCCGUAAACGGUGGGAACUAGGUGUUGGCGACAUUCCACGUCGUCGGUGCCGCAGCUAACGCAUUAAGUUCCCCGCCUGGGGAGUACGGCCGCAAGGCUAAAACUCAAAGGAAUUGACGG
This 568-nucleotide ribosomal RNA is filed under the name uncultured bacterium. RNAcentral describes it as "bacterial SSU rRNA". It matches the Rfam family "Bacterial small subunit ribosomal RNA", at positions 338 to 916 of the family's 1533-position model. The record is from RNAcentral.